UGCGGGAGUGGCGGAACGGCAGACGCGCUGGAUUCAGGUUCCAGUAGGGCGACCUGUGAGGGUUCAAAUCCCUCCUCCCGCACCAG
This 86-nucleotide transfer RNA is filed under the name Caldisericum exile AZM16c01. Its description in RNAcentral is "tRNA-Leu". It matches the Rfam family "tRNA". Rfam says of the family: Transfer RNA (tRNA) molecules are approximately 80 nucleotides in length. Their secondary structure includes four short double-helical elements and three loops (D, anti-codon, and T loops). Lineage: Bacteria; Pseudomonadati; Caldisericota; Caldisericia; Caldisericales; Caldisericaceae. The record is from RNAcentral.